GUUCUGUCCUGGUUGCUUGGGGGCGCUACCGCCGACCCUGGAGGAGAACCAGGCCGUCUGUAAGACCGCCCCUAGCUUGACAAAUUUCCCAUCUUUCCUCCUCAAAAUUUUAAAGCAGAAAAUGACGUUGAUGACAAAGGGCAUCAGGGCCAUGGCCAGCUGUGUUUUGGUAUUUUAUUUCCUUUAUUGAAGGCUGACUUGCAUUCUUUGGGAGCCUGGCCUUGUUGGCUUGAGCUGUGGGCCGUGACGCUACGGCCCAAAAUGUGCUCGGACCUCAGUUCCUGUGCUUCUGAGCUCCCCACGCCUCUGAGCCUUCUGUUUCACACCAGCAUCUUGGGAAAGCCCAGCUCUUGUUGCCACGUUUAAUACCACCCCCUGCCUCCAGGAAAAUGAGUAAUCCCUUUUCUAAUCUCUCGGGAGACGUGGGGGCUCAACCCAGGAGAAGGGAGGGAAGAAGACUAUACUUACAAUGAUGACAGUUGUGAUGAACAUUCCAGCACUUUGUACCUGCUCCGUCAACCCUUCAUCAACUGUGUGAGAAAUUAGUUUCAUAAUCCUCUGACAACUUCGUUUUCCCCUAAAUUGGGCACCAACGAAUUUGACAGAACAAGGUGACGCAAACUGCGAGGCUCUGAACGGCCUUCGUUUACCCCACGGCCGAACCUGCAAGUAUCCAAUGAAGGGGUGCUGCCCCCCAACCGCUGGGGUGGAUGCUCUGUUUUAUUUGCAUCUUACUCUGAGCACAUCUGGCCUCACGGGUUCCACGGCAGAGACCCGUGGACCUGUCUCUGCUUUACAGAUAAGGAAACGGUAAGGCCCACCGAGCUGGGGCAGCGCUCCCAAGCUGAGGACUUACGGGGUCCCGCCACUGGACUUCUAGAGCUCUGCUCCAUCCUGGCCUCCUCCCCGCCCAAUUCGUGGCUUUGAAUUAUCUAUGAGCCGCGUGCCCAGCUUCGUGUGCAGAGGUCCUCUGUGGGUCCAGCGCUCCCCAGGCCUGAGUCCCUGGGUAGGGCAAUGGGGAGCUUUCCCAUUGCAUCCAUGGGGUUCCCGAUUCACUACAGUUCCAAGAAACACGCGGACCCGAGAAACACGCGGAGCCUCGCACAUCCUGGACGAAGGUCCCGCAGGGGCCGCAUGGAGAUGGAGCCUCUUCUGCUUCUCUUGCUGUGGUGUGCUCUGGCCUCCCCGCUGCAAAGGCUAUUUGAGGACGGAAUGCUAGGGGAAGGGGUUCACAGAUUUUCCCAAACCUGUCCAAGGUCCUCGGACCCAAGUGGAGGCCCUGACUGAAGGUGUGCCACCGUCUGGGGAUUCGAUCCCUGGCAGUUGGCUACAGGUACCCCAAGCUCCUGGGAACCCCAUCC
Rhinolophus ferrumequinum (greater horseshoe bat) is the source of this 1361-nucleotide long non-coding RNA. RefSeq lists it as uncharacterized. The record is from RefSeq and is a predicted model, not a curated record. The transcript has 3 exons. Lineage: Eukaryota; Metazoa; Chordata; Mammalia; Chiroptera; Rhinolophidae.